UGGGGAAUAUUGCACAAUGGGGGAAACCCUGAUGCAGCGACGCCGCGUGAGCGAAGAAGGUUUUCGAAUCGUAAAGCUCUGUCCUAUGAGAAGAUAAUGACGGUAUCAUAGGAGGAAGCCCCGGCUAAAUACGUGCCAGCAGCCGCGGUAAUACGUAGGGGGCAAGCGUUGUCCGGAAUCACUGGGCGUAAAGGGUUCGCAGGCGGAAAUGCAAGUCAGUUGUGAAAGGCAGAGGCUCAACCUCUGUAAGCAAUUGAAACUGUAUUUCUUGAGAUGUGGAGAGGCAAGUGGAAUUCCUAGUGUAGCGGUGAAAUGCGUAGAUAUUAGGAAGAAUACCGGUGGCGAAGGCGACUUGCUGGACACAAACUGACGCUGAGGAACGAAAGCGUGGGUAGCAAACAGG
Molecule: ribosomal RNA, 403 nt
Filed under: Verrucomicrobiota bacterium
Lineage: Bacteria; Pseudomonadati; Verrucomicrobiota
Description: Verrucomicrobia bacterium partial 16S ribosomal RNA
Rfam family: Bacterial small subunit ribosomal RNA
Source: RNAcentral